UAUCCCCAAUAUCAACGCUGAAAUGCACAACAGCAGGCGAUCACAAUAUUCUUGUCACAUAUACUUUACUGAUGCCAUAUAACCCCCCAUGAAAUUUGGAAAGUGUGUAGAAAUUUCAAAUAUCUAUAAGCAUGGCGGAACCUAGCCCUUCCAAACCCGUCCACACAAUAAUCCUCGACGCUGCGCCCCUCAUCCGCAAUGUACCCCCGAUCUCGACGCUGCUUGCGCAGUCUCACGCCCUCAUCACCACUCCUGCUGUCAUCUCCGAAAUUCGAGACCCUGCUGCGCGCUCUAGACUUGAGACGUUAUACCUCCCAUUCCUCACACAACGUACUCCCAAACCGGAGUCCGUAAGGUUCGUCGGAGAAUUUGCACGGAAGACAGGCGAUAGGCCAGUACUGAGUAGACAAGAUUUGGAGAUUCUGGCACUGGCAUAUGAAGUUGAAUGUGAGAGGAAUGGAGGUGACUGGAGGUUAAGAAAGGAGCCCGGACAGAAACGGAUUAAUGGAAUGCCGCCCACGAAGGUUGACGAGGAACAUGAGAGGGAAGGCGGGGCAAAUGGCGAUGAGCCUCCUGUGGAACAACAUCAUAAAGUUGAAGACCCCAUCGAAGAUGUGGUGGACGGCUUGGCACAGGCUACUCUAGAUAACAAGGGAGAAGAGGCACAAGGGAAUUCGGCACGAGCUACGAACGGCGUUGAGGAAACACAACUGGAAGAAUGCUCAACACGGAUACAAACGAACGAAUGCGACGAGGAUGACGAAGGUUGGAUAACCCCUUCCAACAUCAGAAAGCACCAGGCAAAAAAUGCCGCAGCUCCCGCGGCAUCCGUUGAAACAAAAACAAUGCAAGUCGCAACCAUAACCGGCGACUUCGCUAUGCAAAACGUCCUGCUGCGUAUGAACCUCAACCUCCUCUCGCCCAACAACAUGCAGCGCAUCCACCGGCUAAACUCCUAUAUCCUCCGUUGCCACGGUUGCUUCGCCACAACGAAGGAAAUGAACAAGCAAUUCUGCCCGCGCUGUGGCAAGCCAACACUGACCCGCGUCUCCUGCUCCACGUCUGCGGGCGGCACGUUCAAACUCCAUCUCAAGAAGAAUAAGCAAUGGAAUACGAGGGGGGAUAAAUAUAGUAUUCCGAAACCUACGGCGGG
This 1153-nucleotide small RNA is filed under the name Histoplasma ohiense. Its description in RNAcentral is "hypothetical lncRNA". Lineage: Eukaryota; Fungi; Ascomycota; Eurotiomycetes; Onygenales; Ajellomycetaceae. The record is from RNAcentral.